This 66-nucleotide transfer RNA is filed under the name Sialis sp. BMNH 1425199. RNAcentral's name for it is "tRNA-Tyr". It matches the Rfam family "tRNA". From Rfam's summary of the family: Transfer RNA (tRNA) molecules are approximately 80 nucleotides in length. Lineage: Eukaryota; Metazoa; Arthropoda; Insecta; Megaloptera; Sialidae. The record is from RNAcentral.
GGUAAAAUGGCUGAAAUUUAGGUAAUAAACUGUAAAUUUAUUUAUGAGAGUUAAUCUCUUUUACCA